GUGUCAGCAGCCGCGGUAAGACGAAGGGGGCGGGCGUUACCCAUGAUGACUGGGCGUAAAGGGUCCGUAGGCGGCUUUUUAUGUUAAAAGUAAAAUCAAAAAGCUUUACUUUUUGAGGCUUUUAAUACGUUAGAGCUCGGAGUUUGAAGGAAGAUAGUAGAAUUUCAUAUGAAGGGGUGAAAUCCGUAGAAUUAUGAAGGAAUACUAAAGGCGAAGGCAACUAUCUAUUUCAAUCUGACGUUGAGGGACGAAAGCAUGGGGAGCAAACAGGAUUAGAUACCCUGGUAGUCC
RNAcentral lists this ribosomal RNA (291 nucleotides) under uncultured bacterium. Its description in RNAcentral is "partial 16S ribosomal RNA". It matches the Rfam family "Bacterial small subunit ribosomal RNA", at positions 505 to 796 of the family's 1533-position model. The record is from RNAcentral.